ACUGCUUUGUCAAAUAUGUUUUUAAAUUGUUGUGUUGUCAAACUGUUUUGUCAAAGAUGUUUUUAAGUUGUGUUGUCAAAAGGUUUUGUCAAAUAUGUUUUCAAGUUGUUGUGUUGUCAAAAGGUUUUGUCAAAUAUGUUUGCAAGUUGUUGUGUUGUCAACGUGUUUGGUCAGAGAUAUGUUUAGGUUGUUGUGUUGUCAGUGUUUUGUGAAAGAUGUUUUUAAGUUGUUGUGUUGUCAAACUGCUUUGUCAAAUAUGUUUUUAAAUUGUUGUGUUGUCAAACUGUUUUGUCAAAGAUGUUUUUAAGUUGUGUUGUCAAAAGGUUUUGUCAAAUAUGUUUUCAAGUUGUUGUGUUGUCAAAAGGUUUUGUCAAAUAUGUUUGCAAGUUGUUGUGUUGUCAAAGUGUUUGGUCAGAGAUAUGUUUAGGUUGUUGUGUUGUCAGUGUUCUGUGAAAGAUGUUUUUAAGUUGUUGUGUUCUCAAAGAUAGUUUUCAAGUUGUUGUGUUGUCAAAGAUAUUUUGAGGUUGUUGUGUUGUCCAAAGUGUGUUUAUGUGUUACAUAAAUGAUCACCUCUGCCAGGCAGUCCCAUCAUGUGAGAAGGUUGCAAAGUGGAAGUAGGUGAGAGGUCAAAGUCAGGAGUAAGAUGCAGUGUUACUAUUUGAGUGGGCCCCGGGCCCCGGUGUAGUGGUGAAGGUGAUGUUAUGUAGUAGUAAGAUGUCUACCUGAAAGAAAGUCUCUCCCUUCAGCUCGUUGGCGUCUCUCUCUCCAGCACCGAGCCUCUUCAGCGGGUUCUUCUUCAGCAGCUGCGAGGGAACAAAGACAGUUUUGGCGAGUGCGUCCUCGGCCUGAGGCGGCGUGACGGCGUCCACCUUCUGCAUGAUGGCCACGGCGUCCGGAGGCAGCGAGGCGGGAUAGUGGACGUCGUUGUUGACGAUGCUGUCGAACACCUCCUCCUCGUCCUCGCCCAGGAAGGGAGACUGGAGCAGGACGGCGAGGGUCAGAGAGGAAGCCACGCCCCCUUAGUGGCAAACUACCCACCUCGCCCACCAGCAUCUCGUAGAUCAGCACGCCCAUCCCCCACCAGUCCACGGCCCGCGUGUAGUCCUCGUCCGUCAGAACCUCCGGCGCCAGGAACUCCGGCGUCCCGCAGAAGGUGGAGGUCCGGUCCCCGUGAGACAUCCCUGCAGAGAAGCAACGGGGUGAAGUCAGAGUCCGUCCAGGACCAGUUCUGUGCCGGGACCACCUUCUUUACAAAGGCCAAAGUCGGUCAUUUUGACGAAGCCGUCGGCGUCCAUCAGCAGGUUGUCCAGCUUCAGGUCUCUGCGUGGACAAGACCGAGGGUCAGUUGGGGCGCGAGAGAGCCCCCGGUCCUCGUGCCGGACUCACCUGUAGAUGAUCCUGUUGCCGUGCAGGAAGUCCAAGGCCAGCAGCACGCAGGCCGAGUAGAACCUGGGGAAGAAUCGGCAAUCAGAGGACAGACUCGGCUCGGAGACGCCGCGCCCACCUGGUCUGCUCCUGGCUGAAGGCCUGGUUGUGGAUGUGGAUCAUGAGGUCCCCCCCGGGGAGGUAGUCCAUGACGAAGCACACGUGCUCGCUGGUCUGGAAGCAGGCGUGGAGGUGGACCAGGAAGGGAUGGUCGCAGGCGGUGAUCAUCUGGAAGAUCCUCUUCUCGCUCAUCAGGCUGUCCACCUCGUCCCGCGUCACCACCUCACUCUUCUUCAGGGCCUUGACGGCGUAGAGUCCGCCGCUCCUGCGGGACUCGGCCAGCAGCACCUGGACACAACAUUUCCAGGGGAGACUGACAGGAGAAGACGAGAGAGAGGACGCGGUGACGCCGCGGGCUGAGACCACGUCCACGGACGGGAGGCCGCUAACCUUCCCAAAGUGGCCUCGGCCCAGCACCGACACGUAGCGCAGGUCCUCGGCUCGCAUCCUGGACCACACGGAGACAAGAAGGUGACUCCUCGUCUUCUUCGCUCCUGCUGAAGGACGACUGCAGACACAAAUACUUCCUGCUCAUCUUCUUAGCAUGCUAACCUGUAUGCUAGCAUUCAUCUGUGUUGUAGCCCGGAAGAGUAAGGGCUGCAUGGGAUUCUGGGUAUUUGGUCUGUUAAGUUUAUGUUGUAUUACGGUACGGAUGUUCUCCUGAAAGGUGUUUGUCAUUCUUGUUUGGUGUGGGUCCACAGUCUGGCACAUAUUGAUUAACGUGGAUCCCGACUUGAAAAACUUAUUCGGGUGUUAACAUUUAGUGGUCAAUUGUACGGAAUAUGUACGGAUCUGUGCAAUCUACUGAUAAAAGUAUCAAUCAAUCUCAUUAGUAUAAUUGUUGUAAUUGGUGCCAUCUUACCUGAAUGCUAACUGUUUCCAUGUUAGCAUGCUUAAGUAAAAUGUUGUUACUUGCA
Long non-coding RNA from Nerophis ophidion (straightnose pipefish), 2402 nucleotides. RefSeq lists it as uncharacterized. The record is from RefSeq and is a predicted model, not a curated record. Lineage: Eukaryota; Metazoa; Chordata; Actinopteri; Syngnathiformes; Syngnathidae. The transcript is spliced from 2 exons.